RNAcentral lists this ribosomal RNA (301 nucleotides) under uncultured bacterium. RNAcentral's name for it is "partial 16S ribosomal RNA". It matches the Rfam family "Bacterial small subunit ribosomal RNA", at positions 509 to 807 of the family's 1533-position model. The record is from RNAcentral.
CAGUCGCCACGGUAAUACAGAGGUCUCAAGCGUUGUUCGGACUCAUUGGGCGUAAAGGGUGCGUAGGUGGCUUGGUAAGUUGAAGGUGGAAUCUCGGGGCUUAACUCCGAAACUGCCUUCAAUACUGCUGAGCUCGAGGAUUGUAGAGGAGAAUGGAAUUCACGGUGUAGCAGUGAAAUGCGUAGAUAUCGUGAGGAAGACCAGUGGCGAAGGCGAUUCUCUGGGCAAUUCCUGACACUGAGGCACGAAGGCCAGGGGAGCAAACGGGAUUAGAGACCCCAGUAGUCCCUGUCUCUUAUAC